RNAcentral lists this long non-coding RNA (669 nucleotides) under Pongo abelii (Sumatran orangutan). RNAcentral describes it as "lincRNA". The record is from RNAcentral. Lineage: Eukaryota; Metazoa; Chordata; Mammalia; Primates; Hominidae.
CCAUGCUUUCGGCACUACUGGCAAGCAAAGUGUUCACUGAUGAAUGAACAAUUACAUUUACCUACAAGUUGAAAUAUGAUGUUAUUUUGUUUUGACUGAAAUUCCAGCUCAGUGUGAGAAUACUGAACGAUGUGUACUUGAAAACAGUACACUCUCUCUUGCACAGCUGUCCCUGGAACUUCCCCGUGGAGCUGUUAAACUUGCCCUCCGCUGGCUGUUUUCCACAAAGUAAUAUGGUUACAUAGAUUCGCUGCUCAUGGCAACGUUUCAUUAAGACAGUUCUUGGUGGCUGCUCCACACCUUUCUCACCACGUCUCACAGGCCGCCCUGCUGAACCAGGUCUCCCUGGAACCCGGGGCUCCUGUGCAGGCCUCCAUUUUGCUGCAGAACACCCAGGAAGGGGGGGCUUAGGCUGGAAUGGGGACACCGAUUACCCUCUACUCAGGCCUUUGGUGCCAGCUGAGGUCGAUACUGGUGCCAGGAUCGAGAUUGUGCCCAUCCCAUAGAGGGCGGACAGAUGUGGGGGCGCACUGGACAGGGCCUCCCAGGCUGACACCCAUUCACAGCAGCCUGAGCCUAAUCCGCCACUGCUCGCCUUCCUCCGACGUCUCCACCUAAACCAUCCUUCUACCCGUUGUGACCUAUCACCGUCACUCUGCCCUUUGUCCC